Xenia sp. Carnegie-2017 is the source of this 1672-nucleotide RNA transcript. RefSeq lists it as uncharacterized. The transcript is spliced from 5 exons. NCBI's taxonomy places the organism in Eukaryota, Metazoa, Cnidaria, Anthozoa, Malacalcyonacea, Xeniidae. The record is from RefSeq and is a predicted model, not a curated record.
CAGACGAUAUUAGGUAAACGAUUAGAACAUUUGCAUAUGAAUGGCAAAUUUUUAACAGCACGCAUUUGGUGUGGCAAGUUCUUUCUUUAAAAGGCUCUCAGUGUUCUGCAAGUUUGCCACAUGAAUGAAAAUCCGCAUGAAGCAGCUUCGGCAUGGCAAGAUACUGCGUGGACAAGGAUCUUUUGUUUCAACUUUUAUGGACAGUUAUAUAUGAAGUGGAAUUGAGAAAAAUGACAGGCAAUCCAUGUGAAGAACGUUUCACGUUCACAUUUUAAACAACCGAGAUCUGAUAUGAAGGUCAUGGAUGACGUCGCGACAACAACACGACUUUUGCUCAUAUGUCUUGCGAUGGUUGGGAGAUUGACUAGUGUCCAGUUCUCCACAUGUCACUCGCUUUGCACAUGCUUGGGAAAUUUCAUGAAAUGUCGUGAAGUUGGUGACCACAAUCUUGCCGUAGUCUUGUCGAAACUUCCAAAGGACAUAACUGAACUAGAACUUCAAAAUGCGGACAAUGGGGAUACUUUUGACGUGCAAAACGAACAAUUGGUGAAUUUUCCAUCACUGAAAGUUUUACGUCUUCGUGGUUGCCGACGUACAAACUUGUCUUUGUUCUUGGAACUUUGAGAAAUCUUAGAUACGUGACUGUGGAAAUUGGUAAAACCUGUGAAAGUUGUAAUUAUACAAAAGCUGUGUCGAGGAGAGAAGCUUGUCCCCAACAACGUUGUGUUUUUGGUGAAAACAGUCUGUUUGACUACUCUUACUGUACCUGUGUGGUGUGUACUCGAAUGGAAAAUUGUACAGAUGGGCUACCAGAACGCGAAAGAUUUCUGGGUGAUAAGACCACGGUUCGCGUUGCAUUGUGGGUUAUAACUUCCUCAGCGUUAAUAUCAAACAUAGCAUUGAUCAUAACUCGCAUUUUCACGCAUUCGUACCGGGAGAAACCGCUUAACAUAUUUAUCUUGGGCUUGGCCUUUCAAAUUUGUUCAUCACCGGAAGUGUGAUGGUUCUUCUCGUUGCUGACAGCCAUCACAUGCAAACGUUCGAUGACAAAAACUGGCCAAUGCCAAUUUGUAGUCCUGUUUACUUGCUAAAACAUUUUGGCAUAUAUUCUUUGGUAAUUGUGUUGAUUUUGAUAAUACUUGAACGUUUUUCAAAGCUUGGAUUUAAGCUUUGUUUUGCUCUACGACUUUCGUUUCGUCGCUCUGUCCUAUACAUGUGCGAGACGUGGGUCCUUUCUUUUUUAUUAAUUAUUCCACCUUGGACGCGGAUUACAUCUUGGCAGAACUUUUGCAUUGCAAACUAUGAUAUGGUAUUUGCCACGUCAAUGUACAUAGCGUGUGGUCUACUGGAGUUGGUUUUCUUUCGUAAUCCUCCUGCAAAUUUGCGUUCUUUUAUGGCGUAGGAUUGCCACAUCUCGUUCAACGACAUGUUUUAUCGACAUUCGAAGCGAUAUCUCUCUGAUUCUUGCAGGCUUUGUGACGUUUUCUAUGCUUGGUGUUCCACACGGUGUUGUUGCAAUCACCCAAAUGACUGAUCAAGAACCUAACACGGAAAUCGUUACCAUUCUUCUUGGUUGUUUAAGCUUUUUCCACUCGUUGAUAUUUUUUAGAUAUUCUCCACUUUAUGUGCACCCAAGCGAUACAUUAUCCACAAAAGACAUGGAUUGCACCUG